CUUAAACCUUCGUCUACCUCUUCGUUCUCUAGGGUAUUUUCGUCUUCUUCAUCUGCAAUCACCGCUACUUCCACCAUGGGUGAGGCUCCAGAUGUCGGCAUGGAUGCUGUCCAGAAACGCCUCAUGUUCGACGAUGAAUGCAUUUUAGUAGAUGAGAACGAUNNNNNNGGUGUUGUUGGUCAUGCUUCCAAAUAUAAUUGUCAUUUGUGGGAAAAUAUUUUGAAGGGGAACGCAUUACAUAGAGCUUUUAGCGUAUUUCUCUUCAACUCAAAAUAUGAGCUACUCCUUCAGCAACGCUCUGGGACAAAGGUGACAUUCCCGCUUGUAUGGACAAACACUUGCUGUAGUCAUCCUCUGUACCGUGAAUCUGAGCUUAUUGAUGAGGAUGCUCUUGGUGUGAGAAAUGCUGCACAAAGGAAGCUUUUCGAUGAGCUUGGUAUCCCUGCUGAAGAUGUUCCAGUUGAUCAGUUUACUCCACUAGGACGUAUACUAUAUAAGGCGUCCUCCGAUGGAAAGUGGGGAGAGCAUGAACUUGAUUAUCUGCUCUUUAUAGUCCGUGAUGUUAAUGUAAAUCCAAACCCUGAUGAGGUAGCUGAUGUAAAGUAUGUUAACCGGGAUCAGUUGAAGGAGCUCUUGAGGAAGGCGGAUUCUGGCGAGGAAGGUAUAAAUUU
Molecule: unclassified non-coding RNA, 671 nt
Filed under: Hevea brasiliensis (rubber tree)
Lineage: Eukaryota; Viridiplantae; Streptophyta; Magnoliopsida; Malpighiales; Euphorbiaceae
Source: RNAcentral